Molecule: non-coding RNA, 106 nt
Organism: Acanthosepion pharaonis
Lineage: Eukaryota; Metazoa; Mollusca; Cephalopoda; Sepiida; Sepiidae
Source: the annotation of a GenBank genome assembly
CAAAUCACGUUGAAACAUCGGUUCCCAUACGAUCAUCGAAGUUAAGCAACAUCGAGUUUGGUCAGUACCUAGAUGGGUGACCGCUUGGGUAUACCACGCGAUGUAA